GGGCCAUAGCUCAGUGGUAGAGGUCAUCUGCCUUACAAGCAGAAGGUCCCAGGUUCGAUCCCUGGCAUCUCCA
Molecule: non-coding RNA, 73 nt
Organism: Rhineura floridana
Lineage: Eukaryota; Metazoa; Chordata; Lepidosauria; Squamata; Rhineuridae
Source: the annotation of a RefSeq genome assembly